Molecule: small RNA, 86 nt
Filed under: Dellaglioa algida
Lineage: Bacteria; Bacillati; Bacillota; Bacilli; Lactobacillales; Lactobacillaceae
Also listed under: 1 other name
Description: BsrC
Rfam family: BsrC
About the family: The 301 nucleotide sequence from Kouji Nakamura has been trimmed to a highly conserved ~85 nucleotide long core to form this family.
Source: RNAcentral
UCUACUUCUAAACGAUGUAACCCUACCUACUUUACAUCCUUGCAACUCCUUGGUUGCGCCAGCAUGAAUAAAUGAAUAGAAAUCAU